CUGGGUAAUAUGUUUGAUUUAUUAGAGAGUUGUUCUAGAAUAAGAUUAUCUGAUGUCAAUAUUCCUUACCUGUUGUUGGUUUCUUAUUUUUAUUGGAUGACAGGUCAUCCUCCCAGAUACUGUGGUGGGCACUCCAUGCAUUCUAAGCAAUAACACAUUCUGAGUUUAGUUAGUCCAUUGCACAGCCCACAGAGGACAGGUUCAGCUUCCAGUGUGAAUAGCAGUGCCAAUCUUUAUUUUGAAGCAUCAGACAUACAUUUUUAUACAUCUGAUGUAUUUUGUGUCUUAUCACUAGGAUAUAUGUAGCAUCCCUGAGUUAACAUUUAUAGUUUCUGCUAUUCGUAAGCAUCCAGAAAUCUGUGAUACCUGUAAAUGUUCUUCCUGCAGCUCACCACUUUAUAGUCACACUGGAAUUCAUUCAGUACUCAAACGCCACAGCUUACCCUCCUCUUAGGCCUUUUCUCUUUUUCUCUCUCUCUCUUUUUUGAGACAUGGUCUUGCUCUACAUUCCAGGCUGGAGUGCAGUGGCAUGAAUGUACUGCCCACUGCAGCCUUGACCUCCUGGGCUCAAGGGAUCUUCCCACCUCAGCCGUCAGAGUAGCUGGGACUAUAGGCACGAGCCACCAGGCCUGGCUGCUUUUUACAUUUUUUGUAGAGACAAUGUUUCACCAUGUUGAGCUAGUCUCAAACUCUAGGCUAGAGUGAUCUUCCUGCCUUGCCCUCCCAAGAGUGCUGGGAUUACAGUGAGCCAUUGCGUCACCCCUUUUCUCUAUAUUCUCUUCUGGAAUGUUCUGAUCUUCCAAAGGCUGCCUUCUUUUUUAUCAAUUCAGUUUGGAUUAGGUGUCACUUCUCACAGGCCCAAUUGCUCUCAUCCUGCCUAUUGUAAUUUUCCAGGUAACACUUAAUGCUCUUUAUGAGAUUUUUAUUUAACCGUUUUUUAAUGGUGAAAUUUAAUACAGACAUAGAAAACCACGUAAAAACAAUUGUUUAACUUAAUGGGUUGCCAGAAGGUGAAUACCCCUGUACUCAGCACUCAGGCUGGGAAAUCAAGCUUUGCUGCUUGAUUGUGAUACCAGCCAGGGUCCUCUUCCUCCCUGUGGAAGGAGGUGUGGUCCAGCCUCUUGUGGGGACUCUUUUCUUUUCUUCCUGGUUUCCUCUUCCAUGCUUCCAUAAGCUUCAUAGUUUACUUUUCGCUGAUUUUCAUUAUGGGUUUUCCGUCUAUCUUUUAAACUUUUUGGUCAACAAUCUUCCUUCCCAUUUCUUUUUUUUUUAAUUACAUUUUAUUUAAGAAACCAAGUCGUUGGUCUGUAGAGGUUCUUGUAUUCUGGAUUUUGUGGAUUGCUUUGCUUCACUCUGCAGUGUCUCAGGCCCUCCUGUAUUUCCUGUGAAUGGGUACGGAACAUUACUGAUAGAAAUUCUGUGAUGACUGGAAUGUAUAUCCAAGGUGUGGGUUGUGGCUACUUGUGGCUACUGGGCACUUUAAAUAUGGCUAGUGAGAUGGGAGAACUAAUUUUAAAAUUUUAUUUAAUCUUAAUUAAGAUGAAUUUAAAUAGCCACAUGGUUGUAUUUACCUGAUGGAUGAAACAUGUAGCAGUUGGAUAGGAUUUAAAUUUGAUUUUUAUUUUUCAGUGAAACUUCUUCCCAGGUGGUGGUGUUUUCUUAUUGAGAGGCAUAUAAAGACCGGUUGUGUCCUUUUAAUGGCAUGAGACGGAGAGAUGGUCUAAUCUGCCAUACACCGGGGCAGUGGCCAGUGAUUUGAACUUCGUGGCAUAGAUGGAAACUUCCAGGUUCUCUUGGUGGUAGGCAGAGGCCUCAGUUUUUAAGAAACUCCCCAGCUUCAUUCCUGCCAAUGAGGAUGUUGAUUGAGGAUAUUCCUAUCAGUUUUAAGUAGAAGAGAUUGUUUCUUGAUGUUGAAUUUCAGAUAAGGAAUCUAGCCCCUGCAUAUCACGGUUGUGGUGCUUGGGCUGAGACAGGUCUAGAGAGCAUGGUCUGAAAAGGGGCUCAAGGAAGUAGCUGUGAAAGACCCCUGGGAUGUUUUCUGCUCCCCUCUCUGCAAUCUCCCUGGAGGGAGAUCCCGUUAGUCACUGUGGGGUGUGUGUGUGUGUAUGUGUUCAUCACUUCUUUUAUUUUCAUUUUUGUUUUUCUGCAUAAAGUCUGCAGACUUUCCAACAGUACCUUGAUAUUUUCUGAAAGCGGAGUCGAUGUGCACACUCUAGGGCCUGAGGGCUCAAUUUGGUGGUAUUUACUUGAGACUGGUGUGUACCUACAAACCAUGUGACGGGGUCAGGGCCAAAGAACACUAGUUUCUGUGUCCUGUUUCUGUGUUAAAAAGACAUUUCAUUCAACUGGAUAACAGGCCAAGGCUAGUGGAGAAAAGGUCUACUCUGCCAUAGGACGGGGCAGCAGCCUGCAGUUCAGAAGACUGUUGUGUGUCUGGAAAUUUCCAGAGCCUCCAUUUGCUGACAGAGGGCCAGAAGGGAGGGCGCAUUUGUUUGCAGAUCAGAGGAGGGCGUCUGUUCACCCUGAUGUGAUGUUGGCCAUGUGUGGACCCUUGACUUUUCAGGGUUGGAUGUCCUGACUGACACUGCCAUAGGAGGGUGUAAGAGGCUGAGAGUGAUGCAACCGUAGGCUGUGGGGAUGAUAUUCACAGGAAGCCUCCCUGUUGCCUGUGGCAAGAGCAAAGAGUGAAAUGCUUGGGGCUGGGAAGAGGCAACAAAAGCCUACAGAAUCUAUUCUCAGUUCAUCUCCCAUCCUAGUCCUAUCAUGGCCUAACAUCCUUAGCUACCGAUUGCAGAGGAGAUUCUGCACAUUUGUGUUCAUGUGGCUUUGGAUGUUGGCAGAUUCACAUUGGUGCCCCUGGCAUCUGUGCCUGCAUCUGCUGUUUCAACGGGCUCAGAAACAGGCUAAAGGGCCUCCAGGCUUCCUCCAGUUUCCUUGUAUAUAUAUGUGGAAAAUACUCUCUUGGCCUGGGUCGUUCCUACCUUUUCUUGCCAGUUGGGUCAGAUCUAGCUUAUUAACCAGUGUUUUUUGAGCUUUAAUAGAACUGGCUCAGACCAGUUGGAGACCUGAAAAGGGCUAUGUGAUAGACAUUUUUUUUUAGAGUAGUUUCAAAUGUACAGCAAAAUGGAGUACAGACUCCAGAGUUCCCUUAUGCCCUCAAUUCCUGUACACUCUUGGGUCACUCCACUAACAACCUCCUAUACCAGAGUAGAAUAUUUGUCAUGACUAUGACAAAUAUGACAUGUCAUAUUUGAUGACUUAUACUGACACGUCAUCAUCACCCAGAGUGAUACCCUUGGUGACACACAUUCUGAGGGUUUGGAGAAAUGUAUAACGAGUAUAUGUAUAAUGAAUGUAUCAUCAUAGCUGUCAUGAUAUCCUGCAGUGUAUUUUCACUAUGGUAAUUAUCUUGUGCUCUAUUUAUUUAUCCUCUCUUUUCCUAACCACCGCAAACCACUAAUCUUUUCAGUCUCCAUAGUUUUGCAUUUUUCUGAACGUUACGUUCUUGGAAUCGUAGAGCAGAUAGCUUUCCAGAUUGGCUUCUUUCAGUUAGUAAUGUGCAUUUAACAUUUCUCAGUGUCUUCUGAUGGCUCAAUAGCUCAUUUUUUUUUAGAAGUGAUUAAUAUUUCAUUUUCUAAAUAUACUGCAGUGUUAUCUAUCAGUUAAGCUACUGAAGGGCAACUUAGUUCUUCCUCCAUUUUGGUAGCUAUUUUAGAAACUGCUAUAAACAUCUGUGUUCAGGUUUUUGUGUGGACAUCAGCUUUCCGAUCAUUUGAAUGAAGACCUAGGGACUGCAGCUGCUGGAUCACACAGUAAGAGUAUGUGUAGUUCUGUAAGAAACUGCCCGUAAUAGGAGAGUCUUUACAAUGGUAGAGGAGAACAUGUUAACAUACUGAAGAAUCAGUCCACUGAAGGAGAUAGAACUUGAGGAUCUAGAAAGAAUGAUGUAACCAUGAGAGCUGUUAAAAGACACGAUUAGGCAUUCUGAAACAUUAGGAGGUAUAUUUGAGCAUUCAGAAAUUUAAAACCAGGCAGCCCCAGGCUACAAGCAGCUCAGAGCUCCAACAUAGAGGAUUCGGGAGGGUAGGGGAAGACUUACAUUGUGAAUGUAGAAGAAAAAGAAAAUGCUUGAUCUGGUAAAGUGCAGCAGUGGUCUCAUUUGGAUCAUUACAGUGGAAAGUCUCUAGGUAGAUGUUAGUUGAUGGUUUCUGACUGGUUAAGCUUAAGUUUCCUUUUAUUUACACUGAGUCAAGUUUUGGUUUGUUUAAGGAGAAACUGAGUGCACUACACUGGAGCCAUCCUGAGCCUCAUGGCCACCUGUUUAUUUGAUUAUUUUUUUUCACAGAGAAGACCCUUUAAAAAAUAUUCGUUGCCCUGCCUCCAGUGCAGUGGUAUGAUCACGGCUCACUGCAGCCUCAACCUUCCAGGCUCAGGUGAUCGUCCCACCUCAGUGCUCCCAUCCUCAGUAGCUGGGACUAUAGGCACGUGCCACCACACCACCAUGCUCAGCUAAUUAUUUAUCUGUAUUUGUUUUAGAGGUGGGGUUUCCCUCAGUUGCUUAGGCCUUUUUCAAAGUCCUGGACUCAAAUAAUCUGCCUCCAUUGGCCUCCCCAAUUGCCAGAAUUACAGGCCAUCUGACACAAGAAAAGAAAAUGAAAUACCACAUGUUCUCACUCACAGGCAGGUGUUGAACAAUGAGAACACAUGGAUACAGGGAGGGGAGCACUAUACACUGGGGUCUGUUGGGGGGAAUAGGGGAGGGACAGUGGGGGUGAAGUUGGGGAGAGAUAGCAAUCUAAAUCUUUUAUCUCAGAUUUGCCUUGUGAGAAAAGGAGGGAUGAUUUUUCUGACAUGAUGAGGGAGAGAAAGAUGAGGUGGGUGCAUUCUGUGCAUAUUAUUUUCUUAGGUGAUGGAAAGAUGAUCGGCUAUUACCUAAUGGGAUAUCUUUUCUCCUUAAUUGAUUUGGCAAGAUAUCAGAAGAGAGAAGUUGAAUAAAGGAAGAACACAGAAAAGAUUGGUCGAAAAGUUAGAAGAACAUAGAAAAAAUGAUGUCGUUGGAGAGACAAACCUUUUAUUGAUUUUUGGAAAAUUUGGGGCCAGUGUGUUGUGUAAGAAAUUUGAAUUUGUGAUGAUACCUGUGACCAUUUUUUUGAUAUUUUUCUGGUUCAGCUGAGUGGUGUCACUGAGCCAACACAAAGUGGGGCUCAUCCAGGGAUGAGAUUUUGCCAGAGAAAGGACAAGCAGCAAGUCAGGGAGCUUAAGGCAAUUACUAGAAAGUGACUGUCUAAAAUUGCUUAGGUGGAAAGAGACAGAUUGGAUUUUGGUGUUUGGUAUUUGGGGGAAGAGGUGUAUGGGUAUGUACAUGAGAUGUGUUGUUCAUUCUCCUGAGAGAGAAAAUGGGGGGAUUAAUGGCUGUAGUUCUGGACAAGGUGGAAAACUCUUAAAGUGGAAGUAUUGGGGCAAGUGCUCUGACAGGCUGGGAUGGUGUAGUCAGUCCCUUCACCUGGAAGUCAGUAGAAUGUUAGCAGUCCAGACUCAAACUUUGUAAAAAACAGGUGGAGAAAAGGAAGUCCCUCACAGUAACUGGCACCAUAAUCAAGACAGAGUGUUUCCAGAAUAAAUUGAGUUAUCUGCUUUCAGCCCCAGGUGGUAGCUCUUCUCUGCCCUGAUGAUAUGUGAUAAUAAUUUGUGAUCCUCAUGUCUUAAAAUGGAGUUACUCAUCUCCAUUAGAAUUAAGUCUACAGUGAAGUUGUCCCCUCAUCCCCAAAGAGAUAAACACAUAUGAAUGGGCUGAGGUGAUAACAAUUAUUGCUCUCUGAGAUCAUGAGAGACCUGAAGUGAACUGAUAGGAAGUGAAAGGUGGCUGAGAACAAGAGAAUGGACCCAUCUGCAGGGGAUCAUAAAACCAGCAGAGACAAGAUCUUGUCUAAGACGUUUUCAGAAGCUUUGCCCAUGAGAACUGUAAGGACUUCUCCAGACCUGGUGGCUGCUGCUAUGAUCUCUGCCCCAAAGGAGCAUCUGACCAACAUCCAAAGGGCUUCUGGACCCACUGGAUUCUUCUGAAGGAAGCAAAGGAGGACCAGUGACUGGAAUAGCAAAGAACUCCAGGAUUCAUGAUGAACUAAUUGCUAGAGCAAAAAUCUCCAAGACCUUCCUAACUUAUGAUGGGGAAGGGGUAACUGAAGUUGGAUGAGACAAUACACAAACAUGAUUUCCAGGUUUACCUAAACUGAACAAUGGAAGACUGUAGAUGAUGCCAUUAAGAUUUCUCAAGAAUAUGGAAGAUUAUUAUUCACUUCUGAUGGGACCUUGUAAGUCACCUGAAAACAAUUUGCAUGAAAAACAACUUCUACAAAAUGUCAAGUUAUGCUACAACAUUCACAUAAUAUACAGUACAACCCUGAUCUCUUGGCUUUCAUAAAAUAUUUCUUACCUCUAAACCAAAGUUUCAUUUUAUAAUUUAUUUUUUUUUCAUUUUUCCCAUCUUCUUAGUUUAAGAAAAGUUCAUUGCAGGUCGGGAACAGUGGUUCAUGCCUGUAAUCCCAGAACUUUGUGAGGCUGAGGCAGGUGGAUCGCCCGAGGUCAACAGUUUGAGACCAGCCCAACCAACAUGGUGGAGCCCUAUCUCUACUAAAAAUACCAGAACUAGUUGGGUGUUGGUGGCAGAUGCCUGUAAUCCCAGCUACUGGGGAGGUUGAGGCAGAAGAAUCACUUGAACCCAGGAGGUGGAGGCUGUAGUGAGCCAAGAUAGUGCCAUUGCACUCCAGCAUGGGUGAUAGAGUGGAAUUCCAUCUCAAAAAAAAAACAGAAAAGAAAAGAUCAUUGCAAACUUUUUGUGUGUUUUUCAUAUAUGCUUGCAGAGGGUUGUAAAAUUUUAUUGCGAUUAUUCGUGGUUUAAGCUGAAACUUUUCUAAUCUUUCUUUAGCAAUUGUGGAAUAGCAUGCUAUUUCCUUUCCAUAUUCAAUUGUUUCUUCUGUAUUUAUUACCCUACCCAUAUGUUUGUUGGCCUCACAUGUCUUCUUUGGAAAAGUGUCUGUUCAUAUCCUUUGCCCACUUUUGAAUGGGUUGGUUUGUUUGUUUUUUCUUGUAAAUCAGUUUUAGUUCUUUGUAGAUUCUGGAUAUUAGUCCUUUGUCAGAUGCGUAGAUUACAAAAAUGUUUUCCCAUUCUGUUGGUUGCCAUUUCACUCUAAUUGUUUCUUUUGCUGUGCAGAAGCUGUGGAGUUUGAUUAGAUCCCAUUUGUCUAUUUUGGCUUUUGUUGCCAUUCCUUUUGGUGUUUUAGUCAUGAAAUCCUUACCUAUGCCUAUGUCCUGAAUGGUUUCACCUAGGUUUUCUUCUAGGGUUUUUAUGAUGUCAGGACUUAUGUUUAAGUGUUUAAUCCAUCUGGAGUUAAUUUUAGUGUAAGGUAUCAGGAAGGGGUCUACUUUCUGCUUUCUGCACAUGGCUAGCCAGUUUUCCCAACACCAUUUAUUAAACAGUGAAUCAUUUCCCCAUUGCUUAUUUUUGUCAGGUUUGUCAAAGAUAAGAUGGUUGUAGAUGUAUGGAAUUGCCUCCAAGGCCUCUGUUCUGUUCCAUUGGUCUAUAUCUCUGUUUUGGUACCAGUACCAUGCUGCUUUGAUUACUGUAGCCUUGUCGCAUAGUUUGAAGUCAGGUUGUGUGAUGCCUCCAGCUUUGUUCUUUUUGCUUAGAAUUGACUUGGCUAUAUGGGCUCUCUUUUGGUUCCAUAUGUAGUUUAAGGUGGUUUUUUCCAGUUCUGUGAAGAAGGUCAUUUGUAGCUUGAUGGGGAUAGUGUUGAAUCUAUAAAUUACUUUGGGCAGUAUGGCCAUUUUCACGAUAUUGAUUCUUCCUAACCAUGAACAUGGAAUGUUUCUCCAUCUGUUUGUGUCCUCUCUUAUUUCGUUGAGCAGCGGUUUGUAGUUCUCCUUGAAGAGGUCCUUUACGUUCCUUGUUAGUUAUAUUCCUAGGUAUUUUAUUCUCUUUGUAGCAAUUGUGAAUGGCAGUUCGUUCUUGAUUUGGCUCUCUUUAAGUCUGUUAUCGGUGUAUAGGAAUGCUUGUGAUUUUUCCACACUGAUUUUGUAUCCUGAGACUUUGCUGAAGUUGCUUAUCAGUUUCAGGAGUUUUUGGGCUGAGACGAUGGGGUCUUCUAGAUAUACUAUCAUGUCAUCUGCAAAUAGAGACAAUUUCGCUUCCUCCUUUCCUAUUUGAAUACCCUUUAUUUCUUUUUCUUGCCUGAUUGCUCUGGCUAGAACUUCCAGUACUAUAUUGAAUAGGAGUGGUGAAAGAGGGCAUCCUUGUCUAGUGCCAGAUUUCAGAGGGAAUGCUUCUAGUUUUUGCCCGUUCAGUAUGAUAUUGGCUGUGGGUUUGUUGUAAAUAGCUUUUAUUAUUUUGAGAUACAUUCCAUUGAUACCGAGUUUAUUGAGGGUUUUUAGCAUAAAGGGCUGUUGAAUUUUCUCAAAGGCCUUCUCUGCGUCAAUUGAGAUAAUCAUGUGGUUUUUGUUUUUGGUUCUGUUUAUGUGGUGAAUUACGUUUAUAGACUUGCAUAUGUUGAACCAGCCUUGCAUCUCCAGGAUGAAUCCUACCUGAUCAUGGUGGAUAAGCUUUUUGAUGUGCUGUUGCAAUUAGCUUGCCAGUAUUUUAUUGAAGAUUUUUGCGUCUAUGUUCAUUACGGAUAUUGGCCCGAAGUUUUCUUUUCUUGUUGAGUCUCUGCCGGGUUUUGGUAUCAGGAUGAUGUUGGUCUCAUAAAAUGAUUUGCGAAGGAUUCCCUUUUUUUGGAUUAUUUGGAAUAGUUUCAGAAGGAAUGGUACCAGCUCCUUUUUGUAUGUCUGGUAGAAUUCAGCUGUGAACCCAUCUGGACCUGGGCUUUCUUUGUGUGGUAGGCUCUUAAUUGCUGCCUCGACUUCAGACCUUGUUAUUGGUCUAUUCAUAGUUUUGACUUCCUCCUGGUUUAGGCUUGGGAGGACACAAGUGUCCAGGAAUUUAUCCAUUUCUUCCAGGUUUACUAGUUUGUGUGCAUAGAGUUGUUUGUAAUAUUCUCUGAUGAUGCUUUGAAAAUCUGUGGAAUCUGUGGUGAUUUCCCCUUUAUUGUUUUUUAUUGCAUCUAUUUGGUUGUUCUCUCUUUUCUUUAUUAUCAGUCUUGCUAGUGGUCUGUCUAUUUUGUUGAUCUUUUCAAAAAACCAGCUCUCGGAUUUAUUCAUUUUUUGAAGGGGUUUUCGUGUCUCUAUCUCCUUCAGUUCUGCUCUGAUCUUAGUUAUUUCUUGUCUUCUGCUAGGUUUUGAGUUUUUUUGAAAUUGCUCCUCCAGCUCUUUCAAUUUUGACAUUAGGGUGUCAAUUUUUGAUCUCUCCAGUCUUCUCAUGUGGGCACUUAUUGCUAUAUAUUUUCCUCUAGAAAUUCCUUUAAAUAUGUCCCAGAGAUUCUGGUAUGUUGUGUCUUUGUUCUCAUUGGUUUCAAAGAACUUCUUUAUUUCUGCCUUCAUUUCAUUGUUUAUCCAGUCGACAUUCAAGAGCCAGUUGUUCAGUUUCAAUGAAGCUGUGCGGCUGAGUUAGUUUCUGAAUUCUGAGUUCUAACUUGAUUGCACUAUGGUCUGAGAGACUGUUUGUUAUGAUUUCAGUUGUUUUGCAUUUGCUCAGGAGUGAUUUGCUUCCAAUUAUGUGGUCAAUUUUAGAGUAGGUGUGCUGUGGCGCUGAGAAGAAUGUAUAUUCUGUGGAUUUGAGGUGGACAGUUCUGUAAAUGUCUAUCAGGUUUGCUUGUUCCAGGUCUGAGUUCAAGUCCUGGGUAUCGUUGUUAAUUUUCUGUCUGGUUGAUCUGUCUAGUAUUGACAGUGGAGUGUUAAAGUCUCCCACUAUUAUUGUGUGGGAGUCUAAGUCUCUUUUAAGUCAUUAAGAACUUGCCUUAUAUAUCUGGGUGCACCUGUAUUGGGUCCAUAUAUAUUUAGGAUCGUUAGCUCUUCUUGUUGUAUCGAUCCUUUUACCAUUAUGUAAUGUUCUUCUUUGUCUCUUUUGAUCUUUGUUGCUUUAAAGUCUAUUUUAUCAGAGACGAGAAUUGCAACUCCUGCUUUUUUUGCUCUCCAUUUGCUUGAUAAAUCUUCCUCCAUCCCUUUAUUUUGAGCCUUUGUGUAUCCUUGCGUGUGACAUGGGUUUCCUGGAUACAGCACACCAAUGGGUUUUGACUUUUUAUCCAAUUUGCCAGUCUGUAUCUUUUGAUUGGUGCAUUUAGCCCAUUUACAUUUAGGGAUAAUACUGUUAUGUGUGAAUGUGAUAGUGCCAUUUUGAUGCUAGCUGGCUGUUUUGCCCAUUAGUUGAUGCAGAUUCUUCAUUUUGUUGAUGCUCUUUAGCAUUUGGUAUGUUUUUGGAAUGGCUGGUACUGGUUGCUCCUUUCUAUGUGUAGUGCCUCUUUCAGGAGCUCUUGUAAAGCAGGCCUGGUGCUGACAAAAUCUCUGAGUACUUGCUUGUUCACACAGGAUUUUAUUUUUCCUUCACUUCUGAAGCUCAGUUUGGCUGGAUAUGAAAUUCUGGGUUGAAAGUUCUUUUCUUUGAGGAUGUUGAAUAUUGGCCCCCACUCUCUUCUGGCUUGUAGUGUUUCUGCCGAGAGAUCUGCUGUGAGUCUGAUGGGCUUCCCUUUGUGGAUGACCUGACCUUUCUCUCUGGCUGCCCUUAGCAUUUUCUCCUUCAUUUCAACCCUGGUGAGUCUGACAAUUUUGUGCCUUUGGGUUGCUCUUCUUGAGGAAUAUCUUUGUGGUGUUCUCUGUAUUUCCUGGACUUGAAUAUUGGCCUGCCUUGCCAGGUUGGGGAAGUUCUCCUGGAUAAUAUCCUGAAGAGUGUUUUCCAGCUUGGAUUCAUUCUCUCUGUCACAUUCAGGUACACCUAUGAAACAUAGAUUAGGUCUUUUCACAUAAUCCCAUAUUUCUUGGGGGCUUUGUUCCUUUCUUUUCACUUUUUGUUCUCUAAUCUUGCCUUCUCAUUUUAUUUCAUUGAGUUGAUCUUCAAGCUCUGAUAUCCUCUUUUCUGCUUGGUCAAUUCAGCUCUUGAAACUUGUGUAUGCUUUGCAGAGUUCUCGUGUUGUGUUUUUCAGCUCCAUCAAGUCAUUUAUAUUCUUCUCUAAGCUGUUUAUUCUCAUUAGCAUUUUGUUCAACCUUUUUUAAGGUUCUUAUUCUUUGCAUUGGGUUAGAACAUGUUCUUUUAGCUCAGAGAAGUUUCUUAUUACCCACCUUCUGAAGCCUGUUUCUGUCAAUUCAUCAGACUCAUUUUCCAUCCAGCCUUGUUCUUUUGCCAGUUAGGCGUCUUAAUCCCUUAGAGGAGAAGAGGCAUUCUGGUUUUAGGUGUUUUCAUCCAUCAUUCAUAAAUAAAGAAGGUUUAUUCCCUUCUUUGUGGAUUUAUCUACCUGUGGUCUUCGUAGUUGGUGACUUUUGGAUAGGGUCUCUGAGUGGACAUACUUUUUGUUGAUGUUGAAGUUAUUUCCUUCUGUUUUUGAGUUUUCCUUCUAACAGUCAGGCCUCUCUGGUGUAGGACUGCUGGAGAUCCACUCCAGACCUUGCUUGCCUGGGGAUCACCUGCAGUGGCUGCAGAACAGUAAGGGUUGCUGCCAGUUUCUUCUUCUGUUAUCUUUGUCCCAGAAGGAUACCUGCCCGAUGUCAGCCUGAGCUCUCCUUUAUGAGGUAUCUUUUUGGAUGUACAGGGGUUGGGGAGCUGUUUGAGGAGACAGUCUGUCCCUUAUAGGAGUUCAAGUGCUAAGCUGUGAGCUCUGUUGUUCUGUUCAGAGCUGCUGGGCAGGUACGUUUGAGUCUGCUGCAGCGGAACUCAUAACCAGCUUUUUUCCCAGGUGCUCUGUCCUGGAAAGGUGGGGCUUUAUUUAUUAGUUCCUGACAUGCUUCUGCCUUUUUUCAGAGAUGCCCUGCCGAGCAAGGAGGUAUCCUAGUCACAGUCUGCCAGAAGAGGCAUUGCUGACCUGCUGUGGGCUCUGCCCAGCUGCUGUGUGAACUUCCUUGCAGUUUUGUUUAUAGAGGUAUAGUUAAAACUGCCUUGGUAAUGGCAGUCUGCUUCAGUAAUGUCAGACUGUCUCUGUAAUGGUAAACUGCCUCGGUAAUGGUGGACUGCCUCCGUAAUGGCGGACUGCCUUGGUAAUGGUGGACACCCUUCCCCUGGGUCCAGCUGUGCUUGCUGUGAAGCUUUCAAUCCAGAGUGUUUCAGAUUGCUAGUCUGUGCGGGGGUUGGACCCACCGAGCCAGAUCACCUGGCUCCCUGUUUCAGCCCCUUUUUUUUUCAGUUGAAUGGGUGACUCUGACUCCCAGGUGUUCCAGAUGCCAAAUGAAAUGGCCACCCAGAUUUGUGUGAGUUUUUAUGCAGAGAUACACUGUGCCGGCUGAAACAGCCAUGCUGGAGAUUCGUGGCACUUUUCUGCCUGGGAAUCUCCUGGUCUGUGGGCAGUAAAAAUUCAUUGAAAUGCAGUGAUCACUCACCCUCUGUGUUCUUGCUGGGAACUGCACUCCAGAACUGUUCCUAUUCGACUAUCUUCCCAAGAAUCAGACAUAUUUAAGAAUUCUUAUAACGUGAUUUUUAAAAGUUCAAUUUUUUAAAAUGAGCAAAAGGCUUGGGCAAACUAUUCACAAAGGAACCUAGACAGAUGCCAGUACACACAUGAGAAACGCAUGUACAUCCAAACACUUCCAACAAGCCCACCUAUAUCCUAUUGUAUAAUCCAGCGAUUCCAUCCUUAGGUUUUUAUACAAGAAUAGAGAGAUGAAAAUGCAUGUCUAACAAACAGACUUACAAAACAUGACAAUAGAAGCUUUAUUUGUAAAAGACAAGAAUUAGAAAUAACCCAAAUAUUCAUUCACAGGAGAAUGAAUAAACAGACUAGGUUGAAUUCAUACAAUAGAAUGUUAGCAGACAAUAAAAAGGAAAUGAACUAUUGAUAUCCCCUACUACACAACAGAAGCCAAGAAUCAUGUUCCUGAAUGAAAGAAGCCAGGCAUGAAAGAAUAUACAUUGUAUGAUUCCAUUUAUAAGAAAAUGAAUCUGUGGUUUAAAAAUCAGACUAGUAUUAGGUUGGUGCAAAAUUAUUUGCAGUUUUUGCCUUUUAAAAAAUAAAAAUGAUUGUGUUGGAGUUUAUGGGUGGAGUGGCAUGGCAAAGAUUAGCUGGAGGGGGCAUGAAAGAACUUUUUGGGAGUGCUAGAAUGUUCUAAAUCUUACAGUGGGGGGACGGAGGUUUGGCAGGCAUUUGACAGAACCCAUUGAAUUGUACAAUUUAGGAUUUUUGCAUUUCAUUGUAUGUAAAUUACCUGCCAAUAAAAACAUGAAUAGAGCAGUUAUGAACA
This is a non-coding RNA of Callithrix jacchus (white-tufted-ear marmoset), 13308 nucleotides long. NCBI's taxonomy places the organism in Eukaryota, Metazoa, Chordata, Mammalia, Primates, Cebidae. The record is from RefSeq and is a predicted model, not a curated record.